AGAGUUUGAUUAUGGCUCAGGACGAACGCUGGCGGCGUGCUUAACACAUGCAAGUCGAACGAGGAUCAACUCGGAAGGGCUUCGGCCCGGAAAGGUUGAUUCGAGUGGCGGACGGGUGAGUAACGCGUGAGCAACCUGUCCCAGACAGGGGGAUAACACUUGGAAACAGGUGCUAAUACCGCAUAAGACCACGAGAUCACAUGUUCUUGAGGUAAAAGGAGAAAUCCGGUUUGGGGUGGGCUCGCGUCCGAUUAGAUAGUUGGUGAGGUAACGGCCCACCAAGUCAACGAUCGGUAGCCGACCUGAGAGGGUGAUCGGCCACAUUGGAACUGAGAGACGGUCCAAACUCCUACGGGAGGCAGCAGUGGGGAAUAUUGGGCAAUGGGCGAAAGCCUGAACCCCCAGCAACGCCGCGUGAGUGAAGAAGGCUUUCGGGUUGUAAAGCUCUGUUAUAGAGGACGGAGGAAGUGACGGUACUCUAUAAGGAAGCCCCGGCUAACUACGUGCCAGCCGCUGC
This 517-nucleotide ribosomal RNA is filed under the name uncultured bacterium. RNAcentral describes it as "bacterial SSU rRNA". It matches the Rfam family "Bacterial small subunit ribosomal RNA", at positions 8 to 518 of the family's 1533-position model. The record is from RNAcentral.